AGAGUUUGAUCAUGGCUCAGGAUGAACGCUGGCGGCGUGCCUAACACAUGCAAGUCGAGCGAUUCUCUUCGGAGAAGAGCGGCGGACGGGUGAGUAAUACAUAAGUAACCUGGCCUUUACAGGGGGAUAACUAUUGGAAACGAUAGCUAAGACCGCAUAGGUGUCAUAACCGCAUGGAGAUGAUAUGAAAUAUGCUACGGCAUAGGUAGAGGAUGGACUUAUGGCGCAUUAGCUAGUUGGAGGGGUAACGGCCCACCAAGGCGACGAUGCGUAGCCGACCUGAGAGGGUGACCGGCCACACUGGGACUGAGACACGGCCCAGACUCCUACGGGAGGCAGCAGUAGGGAAUUUUCGGCAAUGGGGGAAACCCUGACCGAGCAACGCCGCGUGAAGGAAGAAGUAAUUCGUUAUGUAAACUUCUGUCAUAGAGGAAGAACGGUGCGUGUAGGGAAUGACAUGCAAGUGACGGUACUCUAUAAGAAAGCCACGGCUAACUACGUGCCAGCAGCCGCGGUAAUACGUAGGUGGCGAGCGUUAUCCGGAAUUAUUGGGCGUAAGAGGGAGCAGGCGGCACUAAGGGUCUGUGGUGAAAGAUCGAAGCUUAACUUCGGUAAGCCAUGGAAACCGUAGAGCUAGAGUGUGUGAGAGGAUCGUGGAAUUCCAUGUGUAGCGGUGAAAUGCGUAGAUAUAUGGAGGAACACCAGUGGCGAAGGCGACGAUCUGGCGCAUAACUGACGCUCAGUCCCGAAAGCGUGGGGAGCAAAUAGGAUUAGAUACCCUGGUAGU
RNAcentral lists this ribosomal RNA (787 nucleotides) under uncultured bacterium. RNAcentral's name for it is "bacterial SSU rRNA". It matches the Rfam family "Bacterial small subunit ribosomal RNA", at positions 8 to 794 of the family's 1533-position model. The record is from RNAcentral.